GCAAGGGGAGCGGCAGACGGGUGAGUAACACGUGGGAACGUACCCUUUGGUUCGGAACAACCCAGGGAAACUUGGGCUAAUACCGGAUAAGUCCGUAAGGAGAAAGAUUUAUCGCCAAAGGAUCGGCCCGCGUCUGAUUAGCUAGUUGGUAGGGUAAUGGCCUACCAAGGCUACGAUCAGUAGCUGGUCUGAGAGGAUGAUCAGCCACAUUGGGACUGAGACACGGCCCAAACUCCUACGGGAGGCAGCAGUGGGGAAUAUUGGACAAUGGGCGCAAGCCUGAUCCAGCCAUGCCGCGUGGGUGAUGAAGGCCCUAGGG
Molecule: ribosomal RNA, 319 nt
Filed under: uncultured bacterium
Lineage: Bacteria
Description: bacterial SSU rRNA
Rfam family: Bacterial small subunit ribosomal RNA
Source: RNAcentral